Molecule: ribosomal RNA, 441 nt
Filed under: Triticum aestivum (bread wheat)
Lineage: Eukaryota; Viridiplantae; Streptophyta; Magnoliopsida; Poales; Poaceae
Description: partial small subunit ribosomal RNA
Source: RNAcentral
AUGCAGAUUGCUGGACUCAACACCCUCGGCAUCUCAAUUGCGCGCAUCGACUAUGCUCCCUUGGGUCAGAACCCACCACAUACGCACCCUCGCGCCACUGAGAUCCUCACGGUGCUCGAGGGGACACUAUAUGUUGGCUUUGUCACAUCCAACCAGCCCGCCCCCAACAGAAACAAGUUCCUUUCCAAGAUGCUCAACAAAGGUGAUGUGUUUGUCUUCCCCGUGGGGCUCAUCCACUUCCAAUUCAACCCCAACCCCCACCAGCCCGCUAUUGCAAUUGCCGCGCUCAGCAGCCAGAACCCAGGGGCUAUCACAAUUGCCAAUGCAGUGUUUGGGUCGGACCCACCAAUAUCAUAUGAUGUUCUUGCCAAGGCAUUUCAGGUGGAAAAGAAUACAAUAGACUAUCUCCAGGCUCAAUUUUGGGAGAACAACCACAACUAA